UUAAAAAAAAAAUCAAUUGUUUAAGUCAGAGGUGUUCUGUGUAUGGGUUGAAGCUCUCUAAAGAGACCUAUAAAUUACUGUUUUAUUACAAAAAAUUAAGAAUCAACAAUAUGGCUUUGACUUGAAAAAAUACUUUUUGUGUUAGCUUUACAAAAGUUUGUUAAUUGUUUACUGUGGAGUUGUUUCAUUUUGAUGCAUAUUUUUUGGCAGAAAAUCUCAAGGCUUAAAAUGUUACCUUGUUAUUGUCAGCACAUCAACCCCCGAUCUGUUGUUGGCACCUUUUUAAGCAGUUCUUAACCAACUUAACGCUGAUUCCCCCCAUACCCAUAGUGCUAAAAUGGCAUAGAAGGUCCUUGUUUCAUCUUCCCAUUAGACUGGGUGACCCAGGCUAGGCCUGCUGUGGGGAUAUUCGCCAUUCCUGCACAGCAGCACUUGCAUUUUACUUUGGGUAAACAGUGAUAAACUUUAUGGACUAGCUUAGCAUGAGAGAAACACUGGACGACAUCUUCUCCAUUGGCUGGCACUCCUUAACUCCUCCAGAGUCAGCCGUGUAUUAGACACAUAUGAAGAAAAUGGCGGUGGCACUCGCAGGCACUGACUUUAUUACAUCACACAGCGACCGGAUGCUGAUAAACAUGUCUUUGCUCAAACAAAACAAAUAUGCUUAACGCCUGCUUUAACUUGAUUGAACUCAUUCAUUGGAGAGAAAAUCUAAAUUUUAAAAAGUUAUUUGCACACCUGUGGUCAAUGUAUGGUACUGUAUAUUUACCCAAGCCAGCCUAUAGAAUUUUAAAUCUUGCACAAACAGCAGUGGGCAUGAGUUAGUUUUCAUCUCAUUCAUCCUACACUACCUUUUUAGAGUUUGUUGCUGAAACGCUUAUUGUUGAGAGAUCAAAGCUCACAACUCAUUAAAAGUCCCAAGAGAUGUUUUGUAAACUGCACACAUUUUUUGUUUAUGAUCAUUGGACAUUGGUUGAGAUUUUACUUGUGUUGGCAGACAUUUUUACAAAACCCUGUAAAAAUACCUUUGAUUUAUUCUCAUGGUUACACUGAGAUAAUUCUACCAGGUUAAACUACAGAAGACAACCAGCAUUUAAAGGCUUUAGCUUUAGUAUUAAUCAAUAUUUCUUUGAGAUAUAAAGCAUCAGAUAUGUAUACACCACCUCUUUUUUGCCUAAAACGAAAACUUACAUUCAUAAUAACUUCUAUGCCAUCAGAAUGCCUCCAUCAAAACACACAAAUAUGCCACAGCAUGACCUGGUGGUCUGGCUGUUUACUCCCUGUUCAAGCUUUUGGUUAUAACCUCGGAAUAAACUGUAUUGUUGUCUUGUUAUCUAUCGUCUCCCACCGAUGGAAGUAUGUUCUGUGACCGAUGUAGCAUCCUUAAAAUAUAUUCGGCCCCUGAACGUUAUGGAGUAAUCAGAGUUAAGAGAAGCAGGCAUUAUUUUUUCUCAGCAGGAGGUAUUUGUAAUGGAAUCAUUUGAGAAAUCGCUUUAGCCCAAAAUAGGUUUAGUAAUGUUUGCAUUAUCUUCUUUUAUUGAGAGAAAGUUUUCAGCAUUCUGUUCUUGUUAUCAGCAUCUUUUAUGUUUUCACUCUGCAGUGCUAGGAACUACUAUUCAGGACAGUACAAUGAGACCCGCUUUUAUGUCCUGCACCAAGACUUUCUGCGAUAUAUACGCAACAGGUUUUUAAAAUCAGUCAAUCUUAAUAAAGGGUUCUGGGCCAUUGUCCGACCAACCAAUGGGGCGUUUGCUCUGUUUACGGCUCUGCACAUUUGUGACACAGUGGAUGCAUAUGGAUUCAUGACAGAAGAUUAUGCAAAAUACUCCAACUACUACUUUCAAAAGUUUUUGAAAACCAAAGUCGUUUUCUACGCAAAUCAUGACUACAUUAUGGAGAAGAAUUUGUGGAAGAGCCUCCAUGACAAAAAAAUUUUAAAGCUGUUUCAAGGAAGUGAAUCACAGCAGAAAACAGAAGAGCCAUAAACACAAUGGAAAGGGUCAAACUGAUUACCAACCUGAUCAACAACAUUUGCAACAUAUAAAUUCUGCUUCAUAAGUAUUUCUAUCUCCCUCUCUUUAAUACAUUUUUAUUUGAAGAGUUUCUGAUUUUUGCCACAGUAGUUCUCACCAGGUUAAAAUUAUAAAAACAUUGUACUAAAAUACAUCACUCCAGCAUAAAGCAAGUUU
Long non-coding RNA from Cyprinodon tularosa, 2189 nucleotides. RefSeq lists it as uncharacterized. The transcript has 3 exons. NCBI's taxonomy places the organism in Eukaryota, Metazoa, Chordata, Actinopteri, Cyprinodontiformes, Cyprinodontidae. The record is from RefSeq and is a predicted model, not a curated record.